RNAcentral lists this ribosomal RNA (440 nucleotides) under uncultured bacterium. RNAcentral's name for it is "partial 16S ribosomal RNA". It matches the Rfam family "Bacterial small subunit ribosomal RNA", at positions 338 to 795 of the family's 1533-position model. The record is from RNAcentral.
CCUACGGGAGGCUGCAGUGGGGGAUAUUGCACAAUGGGGGGAACCCUGAUGCAGCGACGCCGCGUGGGUGAAGAAGCGCCUCGGCGCGUAAAGCCCUGUCAGCCGGGCAGCAAAUGACGGUACCUGAAGAAGAAGCCCAGGAUAACUAAGUGCCAGCAGCCGCGGUAAGACGUCGGGGGCAAGCGUUAUCCGGAUUUACCGGGUGUAAAGGGGGCGCAGACGGCGAGGCCAGCCAGGAGUUAAAGCCCGGGGCCCAACCCCGGGACUGCGCUUGAAACUGCGUGGCUGGAGUGCAGGAGGGGCAGGCGGAAUGCCUGGGGUAGCGGUGAAAUGCGUAGAUAUCAGGAGGAACACCGGUGGCGAAGGCGGCCUGCUGGACUGCAACUGACGUUGAGGCCCGAAAGCGUGGGUAGCAAACAGGAUUAGAUACCCUUGUAGUC